RNAcentral lists this unclassified non-coding RNA (545 nucleotides) under Hevea brasiliensis (rubber tree). Lineage: Eukaryota; Viridiplantae; Streptophyta; Magnoliopsida; Malpighiales; Euphorbiaceae. The record is from RNAcentral.
AGAAAAGGAGAAGAAGAAGGGGAAAACGGGGAGGAGAGAGAGAGCGGGAGGGAGAGGAGAAGCGGGAGGAGGGGAAUGACGGGAGAGGGGAGACGGGUGAGGAAGAGGAAUGAAGAGGAGGGAGACAUGCUGCCGGUGACUGUGGGCUGAUGGUUGACGCCGCUCGUUGCUCGUCCGGCGGCUGUUGUUUGCAGCACGCUGGUGGGUCUGGUUGCUCGCCAUUUGCGAGAGCGACGAGAGGGAGGCGACGAGGAGAGAGAGGUGGUCGUUCGCCUCUUUUUGCAGCUGCUGGCCGGACGCAGGAGUUUUCGCCGGCGACCGCUGCUGACUCCUCGCCGGUCAUGGCUGCUGAUGCUGUCCGCCAUGGCUGUUGUUGCUUGUCUCCUGGCUGUCUCCCUUGCCGGAAAAGAUGGAGGAGAGGGAGAGAGAAGGGAGCGGCUGCUUGGAGAGGAAGAGGUGGCGAAGAGAGAGAGAGAGAGAGGAGCGACUGGCGGCUGGUUCUUCUGGUGGCUUUCACCGGAAGUGGCGAGGAGAGAGGGGGCCGG